GAUGAACGCUAGCGGCAGGCUUAACACAUGCAAGUCGAGGGGUAACAGGGUAGCUUGCUAUUGCUGACGACCGGCGCACGGGUGCGUAACGCGUAUACAAUCUACCUUAUACUGGGGUAUAGCCUUUAGAAAUGAAGAUUAACCCCCCAUAGUCUCUUUUAGUGGCAUCACAAUUAGAGUAAAGGUUACGGUAUAAGAUGAGUAUGCGUUCUAUUAGUUUGUUGGUAAGGUAACGGCUUACCAAGACUACGAUAGAUAGGGGCCCUGAGAGGGGGAUCCCCCACACUGGUACUGAGACACGGACCAGACUCCUACGGGAGGCAGCAGUGAGGAAUAUUGGACAAUGGAGGCAACUCUGAUCCAGCCAUGCCGCGUGUAGGAUGACUGCCCUAUGGGUUGUAAACUACUUUUAUACAGGAAGAAACACCUCUACGUGUAGAGGCUUGACGGUACUGUAAGAAUAAGGAUCGGCUAACUCCGUGCCAGCAGCCGCGGUAAUACGGAGGAUCCAAGCGUUAUCCGGAAUCAUUGGGUUUAAAGGGUCCGUAGGUGGAUAAUUAAGUCAGAGGUGAAAUCUUGCAGCUCAACUGUAAAAUUGCCUUUGAUACUGGUUAUCUUGAGUUAUUAUGAAGUAGUUAGAAUAUGUAGUGUAGCGGUGAAAUGCAUAGAUAUUACAUAGAAUACCAAUUGCGAAGGCAGAUUACUAAUAAUCAACUGACACUGAUGA
Molecule: ribosomal RNA, 727 nt
Filed under: bacterium IMCC8516
Lineage: Bacteria
Description: bacterial SSU rRNA
Rfam family: Bacterial small subunit ribosomal RNA
Source: RNAcentral